This 720-nucleotide long non-coding RNA is filed under the name Amborella trichopoda. Its description in RNAcentral is "long non-coding RNA (ATRI_LNC005509)". The record is from RNAcentral. Lineage: Eukaryota; Viridiplantae; Streptophyta; Magnoliopsida; Amborellales; Amborellaceae.
AAGAACAUAUUGCCAAUGCCUAAUUUAAGUUUGCAAAAUAAUUUAAAAGUAAUUACUCAAAAAAAACCUAAAAUGUAUUAAUAUGUAUCUUGCAAAAUCGACCUAAAUUCAUGUUUAAUCAGACAAAUUAACUUCUAGUGGAGAAAAACAGUUGCUUCAAAACACCUCAAAUUUUACAGAAAAUUAAUCAAAAUCGAGGCCAUAAUUGAAAGAAUAGCAGAUGAACCCUGAAUCACCAUGAAAACCACAAAGCAUUAAAAAAAAUCAUAUCAAGAAAAAUAAAAUGAUAUAUCAUGAUACUAGUGGAUAUGCGAAAUGAAACAAUCAGGAUCAAAAUACAUAUCUCAAUUGGAUUUGAAUCAAGCUAAUUUGAUCAGAAAUCAAGGUUUUCGGAAUUGUUUGAAGAACACAAUCUCUUGAAAAAUCGACCUACAAUCCUUGCUUAAUCACACAAAUAAGCUCCAUGACCUUCUAAAGAACACCAUUGUCAUAAAAAACUCUCUAAUAUCAUUCACAAUAGGUCCAAAUGUCGUUUGAAACCCACAGUUUCGACGAAAAAUGGAAGCCUUAAACUGUUUUUUGAAAGAACCGAUGCCAAAAAUUCAAUUUCGUGAUUUCAAUGAUGUGAUAAUUUCUUCUGAAAUGAAACAUUUAUGGAUGCUCAAUAAUUAAAUGAAAAAGCUUUCAAUCGAUCAAUUCACUCACUAAUUCACUCAAAAU